RNAcentral lists this ribosomal RNA (2068 nucleotides) under Pantoea ananatis. RNAcentral describes it as "bacterial LSU rRNA". It matches the Rfam family "Bacterial large subunit ribosomal RNA", at positions 1 to 2083 of the family's 2925-position model. Lineage: Bacteria; Pseudomonadati; Pseudomonadota; Gammaproteobacteria; Enterobacterales; Erwiniaceae. The record is from RNAcentral.
GGGUUGUGAGGUUAAGCGACCAAGCGUACACGGUGGAUGCCCUGGCAGUCAGAGGCGAUGAAGGGCGUGCUAAUCUGCGAUAAGCGCCGGUAAGGUGAUAUGAACCGCUAUAACCGGCGAUACCCGAAUGGGGAAACCCAGUGUGACUCGUCACACUAUCAUGCAGUGAAUCCAUAGCGGCAUGAGGCGAACCGGGGGAACUGAAACAUCUAAGUACCCCGAGGAAAAGAAAUCAACCGAGAUUCCCCCAGUAGCGGCGAGCGAACGGGGAGGAGCCCAGAACCUGCAUCAGCUUGUGCAUCAGUGGAAGCGUCUGGAAAGUCGCAGGGUACAGGGUGAUACUCCCGUACACAAAGGUGCACAGGUUGUGAGUUCGAUGAGUAAGGCGGGACACGUGGUAUCCUGUCUGAAUAUGGGGGGACCAUCCUCCAAGGCUAAAUACUCCUGACUGACCGAUAGUGAACCAGUACCGUGAGGGAAAGGCGAAAAGAACCCCGGCGAGGGGAGUGAAACAGAACCUGAAACCGUGUACGUACAAGCAGUGGGAGCACCUUCGUGGUGUGACUGCGUACCUUUUGUAUAAUGGGUCAGCGACUUAUAUUCUGUAGCAAGGUUAACCGUAUAGGGGAGCCGCAGGGAAACCGAGUCUUAACUGGGCGUUAAGUUGCAGGGUAUAGACCCGAAACCCGGUGAUCUAGCCAUGGGCAGGUUGAAGGUUGGGUAACACUAACUGGAGGACCGAACCGACUAAUGUUGAAAAAUUAGCGGAUGACCUGUGGCUGGGGGUGAAAGGCCAAUCAAACCGGGAGAUAGCUGGUUCUCCCCGAAAGCUAUUUAGGUAGCGCCUCGUGAAUUCAUCUCCGGGGGUAGAGCACUGUUUCGGCUAGGGGGCCAUCCCGGCUUACCAACCCGAUGCAAACUGCGAAUACCGGAGAAUGUUAUCACGGGAGACACACGGCGGGUGCUAACGUCCGUCGUGAAGAGGGAAACAACCCAGACCGCCAGCUAAGGUCCCAAAGUCAUGGUUAAGUGGGAAACGAUGUGGGAAGGCACAGACAGCCAGGAUGUUGGCUUAGAAGCAGCCAUCAUUUAAAGAAAGCGUAAUAGCUCACUGGUCGAGUCGGCCUGCGCGGAAGAUGUAACGGGGCUAAACCAUGCACCGAAGCUGCGGCAGCGACGCGUAAGCGUUGCUGGGUAGGGGAGCGUUCUGUAAGCCGUUGAAGGUGUGCUGUGAGGCAUGCUGGAGGUAUCAGAAGUGCGAAUGCUGACAUAAGUAACGAUAAACAAGGUGAAAAACCUUGUCGCCGGAAGACCAAGGGUUCCUGUUCAACGUUAAUCGGAGCAGGGUGAGUCGACCCCUAAGGCGAGGCCGAAAGGCGUAGUCGAUGGGAAACAGGUUAAUAUUCCUGUACUUGGUGUUACUGCGAAGGGGGGACGGAGAAGGCUAUAUCGGCCGGGCGACGGUUGUCCCGGUUUAAGCGUGUAGGUGUGUGUGCCAGGCAAAUCCGGUGCACUUUACACUGAGGCGUGACGACGAGGCACUACGGUGCUGAAGUGAUAAAUGCCCUGCUUCCAGGAAAAGCCUCUAAGCAUCAGGUAACACGAAAUCGUACCCCAAACCGACACAGGUGGUCAGGUAGAGAAUACCCAGGCGCUUGAGAGAACUCGGGUGAAGGAACUAGGCAAAAUGGUGCCGUAACUUCGGGAGAAGGCACGCUGGCGCGUAGGUGAGGGGACUUGCUCCCGGAGCCGAGGCCAGUCGAAGAUACCAGCUGGCUGCAACUGUUUAUUAAAAACACAGCACUGUGCAAACACGAAAGUGGACGUAUACGGUGUGACGCCUGCCCGGUGCCGGAAGGUUAAUUGAUGGGGUUAUCCGUAAGGAGAAGCUCUUGAUCGAAGCCCCGGUAAACGGCGGCCGUAACUAUAACGGUCCUAAGGUAGCGAAAUUCCUUGUCGGGUAAGUUCCGACCUGCACGAAUGGCGUAAUGAUGGCCAGGCUGUCUCCACCCGAGACUCAGUGAAAUUGAAAUCGCUGUGAAGAUGCAGUGUACCCGCGGCAAGACGG